RNAcentral lists this ribosomal RNA (250 nucleotides) under uncultured bacterium. Its description in RNAcentral is "partial 16S ribosomal RNA". It matches the Rfam family "Bacterial small subunit ribosomal RNA", at positions 524 to 773 of the family's 1533-position model. The record is from RNAcentral.
UACAGAGGGUGCAAGCGUUAAUCGGAAUUACUGGGCGUAAAGCGCACGUAGGUGGGUUUUUAAGUCUUAUGUGAAAUCUCUGGGCUCAACCUGGAAACUGCAUAAGAUACUGGAUACCUAGAGUAUGGUAGAGGGAAGUGGAAUUUCCGAAGUAGCGGUGAAAUGCGUAGAUAUCGGAAGGAACACCAGUGGCGAAGGCGACUUCCUGGACCAAUACUGACACUGAGGUGCGAAAGCGUGGGGAGCAAAC